Molecule: non-coding RNA, 28 nt
Filed under: Homo sapiens (human)
Lineage: Eukaryota; Metazoa; Chordata; Mammalia; Primates; Hominidae
Source: RNAcentral
UCCCCUAUGCCUGAAGACAAACGGUGGC